RNAcentral lists this ribosomal RNA (253 nucleotides) under uncultured bacterium. RNAcentral's name for it is "partial 16S ribosomal RNA". It matches the Rfam family "Bacterial small subunit ribosomal RNA", at positions 524 to 776 of the family's 1533-position model. The record is from RNAcentral.
UACGGAGGGUGCAAGCGUUGUCCGGAUUUAUUGGGUUUAAAGGGUGCGUAGGCGGUUUAUUAAGUCAGUGGUGAAAGACGGUCGCUCAACGAUUGCAGUGCCAUUGAUACUGGUAGACUUGAGUAUGAUUGAGGUAGCUGGAAUGGAUAGUGUAGCGGUGAAAUGCAUAGAUAUUAUCCAGAACACCAAUUGCGUAGGCAAGUUACUAAGUCAUAACUGACGCUGAUGCACGAAAGUGUGGGUAUCAAACAGG